Gorilla gorilla gorilla (western lowland gorilla) is the source of this 590-nucleotide long non-coding RNA. RefSeq lists it as uncharacterized. NCBI's taxonomy places the organism in Eukaryota, Metazoa, Chordata, Mammalia, Primates, Hominidae. The record is from RefSeq and is a predicted model, not a curated record. The transcript is spliced from 7 exons.
CUUCCCACAUUAUAUUGUAACUUUCUUAUGAGCAGGACCUACUUCUGAUCCAGUUCUAUUGUAAAACCGAAACUGGGUCUCACUAUAUUGCCCAGUCUGGUCUCAAACUCCUGGCCUCAAGCAAUUCUCCCACCUCGGCCUCCCAAAGUGCUGGGAUUACAGUGGAGUCUCCGGCCAGAAUUAAUUAGAACAGCACUUUUGUGGCUUGUACAUGGACACUCAUCUUCAUUUCUUGGACUCUGAGCCUCAAUUUCUCAUUCAAGUGGAGAAAGCAUAUAACAAGAAUAUGUAAUGGACAUCCUACCUACAAUUUUCGGUAUAACAGUUACAGCAAGUAAAGUUAAUCAGGAUAAGAUCAAGACAUUCCAGCACCCAGAAGGCUCCUGCCUGUUCCAUACCAACAGCAUCUCCCAAGAUAACCUACUAUUCUGACUUCUAUUGCCAUAGCUUUGCCUGAUUUUGAACUUCAUGUGAAUGGAAUCCACGAAAAUUUCUGUCAACCUAUACGACCGAGUACAGGGGAGCAAACUCAAGUCCUGCAUCUCAUCCCCGAUGCCCCUUCCUCAGUCUACUCACGUGAGCAUAACUCA